AUUGAACGCUAGCGGGAUGCUUUACACAUGCAAGUCGAACGGCAGCGCGGACUUCGGUCUGGCGGCGAGUGGCGAACGGGUGAGUAAUGUAUCGGAACGUGCCCAGUAGCGGGGGAUAACUACGCGAAAGCGUAGCUAAUACUGCAUACGCCCUACGGGGGAAAGCAGGGGAUCGUAAGACCUUGCACUAUUGGAGCGGCCGAUAUCGGAUUAGCUAGUUGGUGAGGUAACGGCUCACCAAGGCGACGAUCCGUAGCUGGUUUGAGAGGACGACCAGCCACACUGGGACUGAGACACGGCCCAGACUCCUACGGGAGGCAGUAGUGGGGAAUUUUGGACAAUGGGGGCAACCCUGAUCCAGCCAUCCCGCGUGUGCGAUGAAGGCCUUCGGGUUGUAAAGCACUUUUGGCAGGAAAGAAACGUCGCGGGCUAAUACCCCGUGGAACUGACGGUACCUGCAGAAUAAGCACCGGCUAACUACGUG
Molecule: ribosomal RNA, 484 nt
Filed under: uncultured bacterium
Lineage: Bacteria
Description: partial 16S ribosomal RNA
Rfam family: Bacterial small subunit ribosomal RNA
Source: RNAcentral